Molecule: non-coding RNA, 103 nt
Filed under: Sphingopyxis sp. 113P3
Lineage: Bacteria; Pseudomonadati; Pseudomonadota; Alphaproteobacteria; Sphingomonadales; Sphingopyxidaceae
Also listed under: 1 other name
Description: Glycine riboswitch aptamer
Rfam family: Glycine riboswitch aptamer
About the family: This family represents the bacterial glycine riboswitch. Glycine riboswitches usually consist of two metabolite-binding aptamers domains with similar structures in tandem. The aptamers cooperatively bind glycine to regulate the expression of downstream genes.
Source: Rfam by way of RNAcentral
GCCGGCCGCGCGGGAGAGCGCGCGGUGCGGAGCGAUCCGCGCCUCGCCACCGAAGGAGCAACCGCCCCGGAAACUCUCAGGUUCGCAGGACCGCGCAGGCUGG